UAGAGUUUGAUCCAUGGCUCAGGAUGAACGCUGGCGGCGUGCCUAAUACAUGCAAGUCGAGCGAAUGGAUUAAGAGCUUGCUCUUAUGAAGUUAGCGGCGGACGGGUGAGUAACACGUGGGUAACCUGCCCAUAAGACUGGGAUAACUCCGGGAAACCGGGGCUAAUACCGGAUAACAUUUUGAACCGCAUGGUUCGAAAUUGAAAGGCGGCUUCGGCUGUCACUUAUGGAUGGACCCGCGUCGCAUUAGCUAGUUGGUGAGGUAACGGCUCACCAAGGCAACGAUGCGUAGCCGACCUGAGAGGGUGAUCGGCCACACUGGGACUGAGACACGGCCCAGACUCCUACGGGAGGCAGCAGUAGGGAAUCUUCCGCAAUGGACGAAAGUCUGACGGAGCAACGCCGCGUGAGUGAUGAAGGCUUUCGGGUCGUAAAACUCUGUUGUUAGGGAAGAACAAGUGCUAG
RNAcentral lists this ribosomal RNA (465 nucleotides) under Bacillus cereus. RNAcentral's name for it is "bacterial SSU rRNA". It matches the Rfam family "Bacterial small subunit ribosomal RNA", at positions 1 to 459 of the family's 1533-position model. Lineage: Bacteria; Bacillati; Bacillota; Bacilli; Caryophanales; Bacillaceae. The record is from RNAcentral.